AUACGUAGGGGGCAAGCGUUAUCCGGAUUUACUGGGUGUAAAGGGAGUGUAGGUGGCCUUACAAGUCAGAAGUGAAAGCCCGGGGCUCAACCCCGGGACUGCUUUUGAAACUGCAUGGCUUGAGUGCAGGAGAGGUAAGUGGAAUUCCUAGUGUAGCGGUGAAAUGCGUAGAUAUUAGGAGGAACACCAGUGGCGAAGGCGACUUACUGGACUGUAACUGACACUGAGGCUCGAAAGCGUGGGGAGC
This 247-nucleotide ribosomal RNA is filed under the name uncultured bacterium. Its description in RNAcentral is "partial 16S ribosomal RNA". It matches the Rfam family "Bacterial small subunit ribosomal RNA", at positions 523 to 769 of the family's 1533-position model. The record is from RNAcentral.